UCCCGUUGAUCCUGCGGGAGGAUACUGCUAGUUGGGUUCGAUUUAGACAUGCAAGUUUUAAGCUCUUCGGAGCUUGGCGAAAGGCUCAGUAACACGUCAAUAAUCUACCCUUAGGCGGGGGAUAAUCUCGGGAAACUGAGAAUAAUACCCCAUAGGCUAUGGCUACUGGAAUGUGCCAUAACCAAAAGCUUCGGCACCUAAGGAUGAGUUGGCGGCAGAUUAGGCUGUUGGUGGUGUAAUGGACCACCAAACCAAAGAUCUGUAAGGGGGAUGAGAGUCUUAGCCCUGAGAGGGACACUGAGAAAAGGGUCCCAGCCCUACGGGGUGCAGCAGUCGCGAAACCUUUACAAUGCACGAAAGUGUGAUAAGGGAACCCAACGUGCUCGCAUUUUUUGUGAGCUUUUGCCAAGUGUAAAUAACUUGGAGAAUAAGUGGUGGGCAAGACCGGUGCCAGCCGCCGCGGUAAUCCCGGCGCCACAAGUGGUAUCCGCUAUUAUUGGGCCUAUAGCAUCCGUAGCCGGUUAUCUAAGUUUUCUGUGAAAUCUGAGUGCUUAACAUUCAGGCGUGCCGAAAAUACUGGAUAACUAGAGACCGGGAAGAGUUAGGAGUAUUCUAGAGGGAGCGGUAAAAUGUUGUAAUCUCUAGAGGACUAUCAGUGGCGAAGGCGCCUAACUGGAACGGGUCUGACGGUGAGGGAUGAAAGCUGGGGGAGCGAGCCGGAUUAGAUACCCGGGUAGUCCCAGCCGUAAACGCUGCCUGCUUGGUGUUGCAUAUUCUUCGGGAGUAUGCAGUGCCGUAGUGAAGACGUUGAGCAGGCCGCCUGGGAAGUAUGGUCGCAAGGCUGAAACUUAAAGGAAUUGGCGGGGGAGCACACAAGAGGUGGAUGUUGCGGUUUAAUUGGAUUAUACGCCGGGAACCUCACCAGCAGCGACAGCAGGAUGAAUGUCCGUCUGAAUGGCGUACUCGACACGCUGAGAGGUGGUGCAUGGCCGCCGUCAGCUCGUGCCAUGAGGUGUUCUGUUAAGUCAGAUAACGAGCGAGACCUACGCAUCCAGUUGCUAUCGUUUUUUUCGGAAAGCGAGCACACUGGAAGGACUGCUCUCGAAAGGGAGAGGAAGGUGUAGGCUACGGUGGUCAGUAUGCCCCGAAUCUGCUGGGCUACACGCGACAUACACUGGCUAAAUCAACGGGUUGCGACUCCGAGAGGAGAAGCUAAUCUCUUAACUUUAGUCUGGUUCGGAUUGAGCCUUGCAACUCAGGCUCAUGAAGUCGAAAUCUCUAGUAAUCGUACGUUAGCAUCGUACGGUGAAUACGUCCCUGCUCCUUGCACACACUGCCUGUCACACCAUCCGAGUUGGGUCUGGAUGAGGGAUGAUUUUUUGGUCGUUUCGAAUCUAGGUUCAGCGAGGCGGGUGAAGUCAACACAAGGUA
This 1431-nucleotide ribosomal RNA is filed under the name metagenome. RNAcentral describes it as "bacterial SSU rRNA". It matches the Rfam family "Archaeal small subunit ribosomal RNA". The record is from RNAcentral.